GACGUAGGGGGCCAGCGUUGUUCGGAAUUACUGGGUGUAAAGGGUUCGUAGGCGGUGCGGCAAGUCGGGAGUGAAAUCUCUGGGCUUAACCCAGAGGCUGCUUCCGAAACUGCUGUGCUUGAGUGUGGGAGAGGCGCGUGGAAUUGCAGGUGUAGCGGUGAAAUGCGUAGAUAUCGGGAGGAACAUCAGUGGCGAAGGCGGCCCUCUGGUCCAGUACUGACACUCAAGUGCGAAAGCGUGGGGAGCAAACAGG
Molecule: ribosomal RNA, 253 nt
Filed under: uncultured bacterium
Lineage: Bacteria
Description: partial 16S ribosomal RNA
Rfam family: Bacterial small subunit ribosomal RNA
Source: RNAcentral